RNAcentral lists this long non-coding RNA (856 nucleotides) under Cyclopterus lumpus (lumpfish). Its description in RNAcentral is "lncRNA (ENSCLMG00005012017.1)". Lineage: Eukaryota; Metazoa; Chordata; Actinopteri; Perciformes; Cyclopteridae. The record is from RNAcentral.
CUCAAGGAACCCCAGUGUUGAGCGCACAUUCUCCCUCCCCUCGAACCCCACCCCAUCCGGAUCCUUCCUGCUGCCCUCCUACCCACUGGCCUCACUCACAGGAGGCAUGCUUACUCCGACACUGUCCCGCCGUCAUUUAGACUCCUCGCUCUCUAUGUCCAACACAUGGCCCAACAAGAGAGAGACCACCCCUCACCAACGAGACACCAGCCCAUGGAAAGACACGACAGUCACAGCAACGGGAGACCAUCUCUCUAGCAGAUGCUCUCCCCGGCCUCUUCGUGCUUCCCUUGUGAGUUCUUCUUCUACUUCGUCUUUCCGCCGGGCUCUGAGCAGCACCAGGGCAUCCCUAUCUAUCUCGCCAGUUGUCCCACCAGCAGAACAGGUCCAGUCCCAUAAUAGCCAGAGGUCCAAUACUCCGGGCAGCCCUCAGAAUCAACAGCUAGAGAGAAACCUUCAUCUGGACCCUGAUGGAAUCAAUGUGGUGCAAGAAACUCAAGAGGACAAUCCUCUGGACAUGCAGGAGAUGCUGAACUCCCUGCGCUCAUUGCGCAACAGUGCUGCCAAGAAGAGGGCCAAGGUGAGCCUUAGCAGUUCAGAUCCAGACAGCCCUGACUCGGCUGUGAGGCUGGACCUGGGUCUGAACUCACCAUCACACACCUCUCCAAUGCUUACCAGCUCAGCCAGCGAGAGUGGUCUUUCCAGUCUAAGCUCAGUCGCCAACUCUAGCUUCAAUGGCAUCAUAACCAGUCCCGGAAACUCUGCUCCUCCAGGAAUGAAAUCUUGCAUUGCGAGAGUGCCUUCUGCACAACUGAGGUCUUCUGUGGACUUCAGCAGCCUUCAAGGUAUAAAGGGG